ACAUUGUGCACAUGUACCCUAUAACUUAUAUUUAAAAAAAAACAAAAACGAAAGGACUUGAGACAUGAACGUAGAAUGCCUGGGUUCAAAUCCCAGCUCUGUCACUUACGAGCUGUAUAUUUUUGGACAAGUUACUUCAUUUCCAUGCUUCGGUGUUUUUGUUUUUUCACUGUAAAAUGGAGAUAAUAAUACUGCUUACAUCAUUGGGCUGUCAUGAGAGUUGAGUUAUCUUACGCAAAAUGAUUAAUGGAGAGCCUAGAAGAAAUUGCAAUCCUCAUAAACAUUAGCUAUGGUUAUCUUUUGCAUCUUUUUUUUUUUUUUGUCGUGUGUAAUAUGAAGAUUUGGGUUGGGUACCUGAUGGAUAAAGUCAACGAGUUCAUUAGACUGCAGACUUCUGGGUUCAGUAUUGUAUUCUUAGAGUCCGGAACAGGGCCUGGCAAACAGCAGGUGCUUAUUAUGUUCUUGUUGACUAAAUGACUAAGAUUCUGCUUUUCUUAUAAAAACUGUAUAAGAACCUAUUUGCAGACAUUUAUAAUGCUGAAAUGUUACCUCAUAAAAUUAAAAACAUUCAGAGUGCUAAGAUGAAUAACCUGAGAGCAUCAAACUUUUAGUCAGGGUCCAGUCAGAAAAUGGAAACGCUCAAGCCACAAAUAGUUCAAUAGACACAGUUGAAAUAUGGGGAGCUAGUUACAAAGAGGCCAGGAGAGCUAGAAAGCCAUGGUGAGGCUGCCCAGAGAUUAGUCACUACCACCCCUAGGUGAGUGGAGGAAAAGUGAGGAACGGUCCUCCUGGGACUGCGGAGGGAGGGGCGCUCUAGCCCUGCUGUAUUUGCAGGCUGACCAAAGAGCUCUCCCACCUCCAAACUCCUACUGGCGUCUCCUAUUGGCUAAAUCCAUCUCCUAAAUCCAUCCAGUACAGCAUCAUGGCCUUAAAAACACAAAUGGUGUCAGUUACAAGGAGUAGGUCAGGAGUAUUGUUUUCACUGAGGCAAGAGAGGAUGGGAAUUGUAGUUUGCAGUGUCGGCCUCCCUGCUCCACCCCAACAGUGAUCCAGAGAGGUGCACAGGAGGACAAGGAAUGGAUCUGAGGACAAUGGGCCCAGGCCCAGGACCCCAACCAGGGGGUGUGUAGUAGUCACAUUCUAGAUGAGGUGAUUGGCAAACUAUGGCCCUUGGGUGGCAUCCAGCCUGCUGUGCAUUUUUAUAAAUAAAGUUUUAUUGGAACACAGCCACACCCACUCAUUUCCAUACUGUCUAUGACUGCUUUUGUGCUACAAUAGCAUAAUUUAGUUGUAACAGAAACCACAUAUCCCCCCAAACUUAAAACAUUUAGUAUCUGGCCUUUUACAGAAAAAAUUUGCCUAUCCCUAUUCUAGAUUAUGUCUAAUCCUCACAACCACCUGCUAGGUAAGUAUUUUUACCCUUCUAUUACACAUGGGGAAUAGGCUCAGAGAUGUAUCUGAGUUGCCUGAGGAUGAGCACCUAGGCCAGAAUGGAAUCUGCAUUUCAUCUUCAUCGGAUCUUUUACCAAUUUCCAAUUCCUUCCAUUGUGCCCCUCUGCCUUCCUAAUUUAAGGAAUCUGGUCAUGGUGACAGGCGCCCCACAUGUCUUCCUGCACCCUCUGAGCCAUCCUCGGCCCCUGCACCUCUGCUGAAACAAAAGCAUGCCUUGGUUUGCUAGAUCUCCGUGACAUGGCUAUGGCCCCUCAUCUCACCGUGAAAUUCACAGAGUACGCAGGAAUCGAAGUUGUCUGAAUUGGAAGCAGCCUUAGGUCAUUUCCUAGGAGUGACUUAGAAGUGUUCUGCAGCUUGAAGCUGCUUGUUUGCUAGACUGUCCUUUCCAGGUAGGCAGCUGGUCCUUAAGAAACUCACUUUUUUCCUUUCUGCUCGUUUGCACAGUCAUCACAACUAAGCAAUAAUAGCAAAAGAUUUGGGAGAACGUCUCUGACAUAAUGGAAAUCAAUGUUAAAAUGAGAUUGGCUUUACAAAAUAAACAGUAUAGUCAACUCUUUAGGAAUGCUUCUCCUGUAAAGCUAAGUACACCUGGCUGAUGGAAAAACAAUCCCUUCAGAAUGGAAUAUUAUUGCCAACACUUCCCUGCAUUGCUUGGAGAUUCAUCUUAGGCAACAGUAUUUAUGAGUCAAUCUGUGUUGUCUUUGUAUAACAACAAUAGCAGCAGGAAAAAGCUCUUAGAAUCCAUGUGAAUUUAUGUUUACUGGAAAUUCCGAGUAACUGUAAGCUAGACACUGCUUGCAUUUGCUUUGUUCACACAGAUGGCAAAAAUUGCAGCUCUGGGAAGGACUUAGAGAGGUAAGUAGAAUGCAUGUGAGAUUAAUAAAAUGAGGAUUUACAUGUGAUGACACACAAAAAAGGCGGCACCAUGGCUGUAGUAUUAUUUGACUUAGCAUUUAGCCGACACAGGUAUUUUUAUAAAGUAUAACGUGCUCUCUUGCCUCGGUGAAAACACUACGCCUGACCCACACCUCGUAGGGUAACUGACACCAUUUGUGUUUUUAAGGCGUGAUGAAGCUCUACUGGCCACCCAGUCCCUCUUCCCAUGACCAUUAGAGGUUUGGAAUGACUUAGCCUGCAUUGCAGGGAGCUGGCAGAUGGCUGUGGCCACAGGAGGGACUGUGGGGGGGCCUGUACCCUCAGGGCAGGCAGUAGGCACUUGCUUCUAAGGGGCUCUGGAGCUCGGGAAUCUAUUUCCAUUUUGGGGAUCCUGGGUAAAUGUCUAAACCCCUAGAUAUAGAAGUUCACAACUAUUUCAUAAGAAGCAAUAUGAUGGUGUAGGAAAAGCUUGGGCUUCAGAGGCCAAAAGACACAAGUUUGAAUCCUGCCGUUAUUAACCAAUCCUCUCAUGAAUCUGAUCCCCUUUCCAGGCCUGAGAGGGAGGUGGGGAGGCCUCUAUGACUGCUGAAUAAUAGCCCUCAAAGAUAACCAAGUCCUAAUCUCUGGGAUCUGGGAAUGUUACCUUAUAUGGAAGAAGGUCCUGUGUGGAUGUGGUUAAGUGAAAGGUUUUGACAUGGGGAUAUUAUCCUGGGUGAUCUGAACGGGCACUAAAUAAAAUCACAAGAGUCCUUCUAAGAAGGAAGCAGAGGGAUAUUUGACACAGAAGAGGAAGAAGACACCGUGACCAUAAUGGAAGCAGGAAGAGAUGUGAAGAUGCCACACAAUUGCUUUUGAAGAUGGAGGAAAGGACCACGGAGUCCAGGAGCACAAGGAAUGUAGCAGCCUCUAAGUGAGAAAAGGUGGAGAAACAGGUUCUCUGCCCGCCAGACUCUGGAGAGACUGUGGUGCUACUGACAUCAUGAUUUUAGAUCGCACUUACAGGAUUCUUCUGAUUACAUCAGGUGCACCCAGAAAAUCCAGGAUAAUCUCUCCAUCUGAAACUCAUAUCUGCAAUGUCCUUUAUUUCCCAGAGCCAGUUGGAGCAUGAAGCUUCAGAAUCGCCUUCCAACUCUCUGUGCAGUGCACCAGCUGCUUCCCAUAGACUCCUGGUAAAAUAUAAUUGUCAAUUACUCCUUCCUCAUUCUUUGCUUUGUGGCUUACAAAAGAGCGGAAGGAAGAAGAGCCACCACCCAUAACAUCAGUGGCUGCUAACUGAGGAGUGUUUUAACAUGCUGGUACAGCCUAUCCUCAGCUUUCCAGAAGGUGGAAUCUUGUGAUAGUGGAAAGACAGUAGAAGAGAGGAAGGUAUGCCAGUAACCAGCGAUGCCCAGCUGGCUCUACUAGGAUUACGUACAGCCUGUAUUUGUUCUGAUUGUACCUGUGACUCCAGAAUUUGCCAGCAAAAGAAGUCAACAAUAUUUUAACUUUAAUCUUAGCCAAAAGGCCAAGAAGUGAUGCUAGUAUUUUCAUAUACUACUACAGUUGCAGACACACGUCUAACAUAGCUGGGUAGUAAUCCAGGCAACUCUGCCGCAAGUCAUGGGCUCAGCCACCAGUCCACGGAGUCUCCAGUCACAUGGAUUGCUUUGGACUAGUCUCUAUCCCCAGUUGUCGAUUAACUAAAAUGUGAAACGAGCUACGCCUUGGGGACCUCACAGUAACUUCCCAGUGCAGAGCACUUGACUGCACGGAACCUGGAUUGACUCAAACCUGUGAAUUUCCCUUCCUGAAACAUAGGAUGCCAUGGAGUCCCCCAACUGGCUUCAUAAAUUUGGUGUCACAUUGUAAAUCAAGCAGCUGCAGAGUGGCUGGGACAUCUGCUUGGCUCUGUUAUUCUCUUAACUCCAAAAGGAAACGAACUCAAAAAGCUCCUUCCAGUUGGCUGAGCUUUAAAGGAUGGUUGGAGAUCCAGCAGCCAUCUUGGACCAUGAGGUGAAUCACGAUGAAGCAAAAUGACAGAAAGAGCCAAGAUCCUUGUCCUGUGGAAAGCAAUACAGAAUAAAACCUGAUGUCUGAGCUGAAUCCCAGUCGUGAAGAAACUUUUCCACCAUUCCUGUCUGUGUUUUUCUAAGUGUGCUCUUGAAGUUCCACAUUUCCCAGGGUGGGAGUGCAGUGGUG
Molecule: long non-coding RNA, 4506 nt
Organism: Cercocebus atys (sooty mangabey)
Lineage: Eukaryota; Metazoa; Chordata; Mammalia; Primates; Cercopithecidae
Exons: 10
Source: RefSeq, a predicted model, not a curated record